CCCAUCUAGAGUAACAAAAUCCAACCAGGCCCCUCAAAAACCCAAUAUUACAUCAGCCCGAACUGGGCAGUUUUCGCCCAGAGGGACCGGUCUCUCCCCAGCAGGGACCGGUCUCUCGCUGCGAACCCGAAAAACCAACGUUCGGGAACCGGUCUCUCCCUGCGCGGGACCGGUCUCUCACUGCGAAGACGCGCUCGGGGACCGGUCUCGCCUGCCAGGGACCGGUUGCCUCAGGCUGCCUCAACACUGCUCACUGGGGGACCGGUCUCUCCUUUCAGGGACCGGUCCCCGAGAGUAAAAACUCUCAGGACUUGUUCAGAAUUCUAGUUUUCGAACUUUUUAGGUCGGAAAACAUUCUACAACCCUCCACCAAGUGUGAAAAAGCUCGAAAUACAUCCAAACACUCGAACCUCGCAAUUUUGCAAAGGUCCAGUGUGCUACAAACACCAUGUAGAGUAAAAGCAUGUACCAAUAAGGAAUCACGUCAAGUUGCAUUACUCAACCACCAUCAUAUAUAAUAAAUCAAGUAUAGAGAAAACCAAGUAAAAUACAAUUUUACUAACUUCGGAAUGGAGCACUCACCUCACCAAGUAUCAGAGCUCUCAGAGCUCUCAACUUGACCGAUAUAUCUAGCCGUCACAUGUACCUAGAAGAUACAAUUCACCAAAAACAACAAUCAUUACUCUACGUGCUAUCUAUACUAACCAACACACUCAACCUAUACCAUCAUAUACCACGACACGACUGGAACAUCAAUUCCACUAACCGGCUUGCAAUACUAAGCUUGACAACUAACCGAUUCCACGAAAAGUCACAGCAACACACCCACAAUCCCAAGACACACCACUUUAGGUGAUGGGACGCCCGCACACCAAGUGCACUACAGCUGUUGAAUAAAAUCAUGACAGGCCUAAAGCCACCACUACAAUAAUCUAAACACUACUUUAGUGUUGAACCAUACAAGCAUUGUGUAAUUGGCCCUAAGACCCUCACAACACCAUAACAUCACCAGCUAGUGAUAUGAAGUCACCCACAACAACCAACGGCCCAACCGAAAUAUCAGACCCACUUACCAAUUUUUGAAAUCCGCGGACUUCCAAAUAAACUCAUCGGGAUGUCACUUUAGUGAAUGAAGUUUCCCGAGGCAAACCACACAUCUCUAAAUCACAUCCGCUGUCCCUAAACACCAUACUUUAGGUGUUGGGAUAGCCGCAUGUAGGAUGCACGAUAAAGGGAUUCCACAGCUUCAGAAGUAACUCAAAUUGGGUUCCGGAAUACCUAUUUUGGUAUUAGAACCAACCAUGUCGCACUUGCUACCAUAAAGGAUGCAAAAAGAGAGGCUAGACCAGUUGACAAGGCUCAUCAACUAAUUCGGACGUCAUCAAACCCGAUUCCAUAAAAACGAAAUCGAAACUCGCAAAAUCGAUCCAUUUUCAACUCAACUGAUGCCAUUUUGCACCAAUCCGCCACGAAGGGCUUCCGAAACUUGGACAACAAGUCUGAACAUCCAAUUCUACUAAACAUCGCUAUCCAACUCCCUGUGAUGUAAAAAGCAUCAAAAAGUCUACAUCAACCUGAAAUUGCAUAUGAAACAUCUAUAAAUAGGAGAAAAUAGGGAUUCGUGUAUUUACUGGAUAUAUGCAUAUUGGGAGUCGACUAAUAGGAUGCAAGGUUGAUGACAGUCCAUUGGCUACGAGGAAUAGCACCGGAGUCGCAAUGGCAAUCCGAAAGUGGUGACUAGCUAUACUAAACGAAUCGAGUACACCACGGGUGCGCGCCAUCUUAAGUUGUCAAAAAAGCACCAUUAGCAUGAGCACGGUGUUAGGAGUGGCAAGGAGAUCGCUAUGCUCCCAAGAACUAUAUAUUCAGCCACCAGAUUGACUGAAAAUGCCAACAACAAAAAUGAGUUAAUUCAUCAAGCACUGAAUAAGCGACACUGUAAUCAGCGAUUUGGCGCACAUUUACCUAAAACUCAGAGGAGCAUAGAUCAGCACAAAUGUCCAAGGGUGUCGUGCUCACUAGCGGAGUAUUGUCGGAGGCCUAGACUAGCUGUAAGGACUGAGAUUUUGGCAGUGUAGCUAAGCUCUCUGUUGACGAUAUUUUUGUGUGUAUUUUAAUUACAAAAGCACUCAUCAAGUUUCAGGAGAAAAUGAGUUAGGAUGGAGAAGUUACGCGACCUUUACUAAUCACUUAAAGUGAAUAGUAACUCCGGUUUUUCGAAGAAGCCAAUGAGUGGAGAUGGCUUCUGGUGCGUAUUGGACUUCGUUCAUAGUGAUCCAAUAGCUCAUUUUCAACGGUUCGACUGUCCUGGAUCUAAUGGUGCUGACGGAUUUCAGGUUUGACGCAUGAAUUUUGAGAAAACUGUAGAUACAUGUAUUCUAUGAAUUUGUGCGUAGUUCUGCCUUUUGGAGAGAGGAUGAGUUUCAUCGCAAAUCGACAACCAAAUCGGACGAAACAAAAUGAUAGAUUUGAUGCCCCAGUCGUGCUGAAUGCACUGGCUUGAUCCGAUCGAAAAUCCAACAGACGGAUCUUGGGGAAUCAUGAAAUGUUUAUUGAGGGGUCGAAUUUGGCAAAACGGAAAAUCUGCGAAAUGCCCAACAUUUUAUGUACCGUUUUACUUGAUUCGAAUGUCGUGGUGCUUGUGUGCAAAAUAUACGCGCUGGCAAGGACUCAGCUGAAAAUAGUCAGCUUUGGGGGACUGUUUCGCAAUAUACACAAUAUGUAUAUAAGGUUGCAACUAGGGUAUCUAUGCACGAAACCUUAGAACUAGCCAACCCAGCUCCCCAGCUAUGCCCUGGCCGUCAUCAGCAAGCACCUGCCCUACCGUGCGAGCACCCCGGCCGUCGUGAGCGUCCCCGGCCGCCGAAAAAGCUUGGUUCGGCCUCUCCUCCAUCAUCUUCUCCACUUAGCCGCCACCUUCCUCGGCUGUCGAUCUCAGGGAAUCACCUGCACCCUGGGAAACUCUAUCCUCUGGCCGAGAUCCCNGGCUAGGUCAAACCCACCGAACCGUCGCGUGCUCCUUCGAUUCGCCGAACGGAGUUGUCCACGAGCCUCAAGAUACCCUAAAAGUGAUCAGCGAAAAGAUACGCAAGCAUUACGAGCAACUCUAGGCUCAAACAAUAAUAAUCACAAGAAUAGGGCUAAAACUCACCUAGGGGGUAGAAAUUCUCACUCAGGCUCUAAAAGAAGGCUAGGAUCCUUCCAAUCCAACCCAAAGGAGGGUUCUAAUCCAAAAAAAAUCUAGCCUCAAAAGCCCUAGAUCAAAAAGCCCCCAAAAUCAACCCUAAUAUCCAUUCUAGGGUUCCAAAUGGUAAAACCUACCAAAUCAAGGAUCAAAGGGUAGAAUCCAAGUACUAACCUCCCAAAAUGCCUCCAAACAAGCUCCAAAUCUUCUAGGGUUGAAGAUCGGUCCACCACCAAGCUCUACAACCAAGCUCCAAGCCAAGCAAGGGUGUAAAAGAGAGAAAGGGGUUGAGCUCCAAGCUCCCUCAAGCAAGCUCCUCUUCUUCUUCUCCUUCUUCUUCUUCUUCUCCCUCUAGAAGGUGUAGGGUGAGGGUGAGAAAUAAGGAAGGAAGAGAGGGGAAUGGCUAAUAAGCCCAUCUAGUGUAACAAAACCCGGAGAGGCCCCUCAAAAACUCAAAUUUACAUCAACCCGAACUCGGCAGUUUUCGCCCAGAGGGACCGGUCUCUCCCCAGCAGGGACCGGUCUCUCGCUGCGAACCCGAAAAACCAACGUUCGGGAACCGGUCUCUCCCUGCGCGGGACCGGUCUCUCACUGCGUAGGCGCUCUCGAGGACCGGUCUCGCCUGCCAGGGACCGGUUGCCUCAAGGCUGCCGCAACACUGCUCACUGGGGGACCGGUCUCUCCUUUCAGCGACCGGUCCCCGAGAGUAAAAACUCUCAGGACUUGUCCAGAAUUCUAGUUUUCAAACUUUUUAGGUCGGAAAACAUUCUACAACCCUCCACCAAAUGUGGAAAAACUCGAAAUACAUCCAAACACUCGAACCUCGCAAUUUUG
Molecule: long non-coding RNA, 4018 nt
Filed under: Ananas comosus (pineapple)
Lineage: Eukaryota; Viridiplantae; Streptophyta; Magnoliopsida; Poales; Bromeliaceae
Description: long non-coding RNA (ACOM_LNC021361)
Source: RNAcentral